UAUUGCACAAUGGGGGAAACCCUGAUGCAGCAACGCCGCGUGAGUGAUGACGGCCUUCGGGUUGUGAAGCUCUGUCUUCAGGGACGAUAAUGACGGUACCUGAGGAGGAAGCCACGGCUAACUACGUGCCAGCAGCCGCGGUAAUACGUAGGUGGCGAGCGUUGUCCGGAUUUACUGGGCGUAAAGGGAGCGUAGGCGGACUUUUAAGUGAGAUGUGAAAUACUCGGGCUCAACUUGAGUGCUGCAUUUCAAACUGGAAGUCUAGAGUGCAGGAGAGGAGAAUGGAAUUCCUAGUGUAGCGGUGAAAUGCGUAGAGAUUGGGAAGAACACCAGUGGCGAAGGCGAUUCUCUGGACUGUAACUGACGCUGAGGCUCGAAAGCGUGGGGAGCAAACAGG
RNAcentral lists this ribosomal RNA (397 nucleotides) under uncultured bacterium. RNAcentral's name for it is "bacterial SSU rRNA". It matches the Rfam family "Bacterial small subunit ribosomal RNA", at positions 362 to 776 of the family's 1533-position model. The record is from RNAcentral.